GUCGUCGGUGCGCCCAGUCACGGCCGGA
Molecule: small RNA, 28 nt
Filed under: Bombyx mori (domestic silkworm)
Lineage: Eukaryota; Metazoa; Arthropoda; Insecta; Lepidoptera; Bombycidae
Description: ovarian small RNA-2812
Source: RNAcentral